This 426-nucleotide ribosomal RNA is filed under the name Triticum aestivum (bread wheat). RNAcentral describes it as "partial small subunit ribosomal RNA". The record is from RNAcentral. Lineage: Eukaryota; Viridiplantae; Streptophyta; Magnoliopsida; Poales; Poaceae.
AUGGCGUCAAAUAGCGCUUUUGCUGAGUUGCUCGGGAACUGCAAGUUGGAUGGCACACACUUCAAUGUUUGGAAAAGGAAGAUGAUGUUUCUACUUACAGCAGAGAAUAUUGAGUAUGUAAUUUCGACCGCCGAGCCUAACAAACCUGCUGAUGGUGCUUCGGGUGAGGAAAAGGAUAAUUAUGCGGAAGAACUCAAGGAGUGGAAUAAGGACAAUAACAAGGCUAGGAUUUUUAUUCUUGGCUCCAUGUCUGAUUCGUUGGCAGGUGAAUAUGAAACAGAGGUUGCUGCACACAGGAUUAUGAUAAGGCUGGAAGUGGAUUUUGGUGAAGUUUCUUUAAUCAAAGUGCUUAGCUUGCUGAACAGAUUCUUGACGUCUAAGAUGGCAGAUAAUACUUAUGUCAAUGAGCACUUAAACAAGUUGUGA